AGCUCCAAUAGCGUAUAUUAAAGUUGUUGCAGUUAAAAAGCUCGUAGUUGAAAUUCUGAUUGUUCGGGUCUCGAGCCCUUAGGCAGAGAAACCGACAGUCAUCCGCUUGCAAACAUACGUUCGGCCUUAACCAGUCGGCUAUGUGAGUAAGCAUUUUACCUUGAGAAAAACAGAGUGUUCCAGGCAGGUUUGUCCGGAAUGCAUUAGCAUGGAAUAAUAGAACAUGACUGAAGUCAAUUAAAUGGUUUAAGGCUCCAGUAAUGAUUAAUAGGAACAGUCGGGGGCAUUGGUACUCAGCAGUCAGAGGUGAAAUUCUAAGAUUUGCUGAAGACUAACUAAUGCGAAAGCAUUUGCCAAGGAUGUUUUCA
RNAcentral lists this ribosomal RNA (368 nucleotides) under uncultured eukaryote. RNAcentral's name for it is "SSU rRNA". It matches the Rfam family "Eukaryotic small subunit ribosomal RNA", at positions 587 to 972 of the family's 1831-position model. The record is from RNAcentral.